This is a long non-coding RNA of Mesocricetus auratus (golden hamster), 572 nucleotides long. RefSeq lists it as uncharacterized. Lineage: Eukaryota; Metazoa; Chordata; Mammalia; Rodentia; Cricetidae. The record is from RefSeq and is a predicted model, not a curated record. The transcript has 2 exons.
GAGGCUGCUAGCUGAGGAGAUAGAUGUGUCCCUGGCUGGUGAGCAAGGAUUCUGGAACCCGUGACUAGAACUCAGGGCCACGGGGAUGCCGGUGCCACCUAGGAAUCAUUUACCUUCUGGGUACUCAGCGGAGGAAGCCUCUGUCCUGGUGAAUGGAUCCUUUCUGAUUGCUGAGAGCAUUCUUGGCAGAAGAAAGCUAUUCCACUCCAACAAUGGUGGCUACCCCCGUGGAGGGCUCGCUCUAGGCCUCAAGCUCUGCCAGGGACCUUGUGUGCCUCUGACUCACAAGCGCACUGGCCAGGCGACUGCCGCCCUGUUGCGUGCGUGAGGACACUGCGGUUCUGUGAGGGCCACUGCGCUGCCCAGAGUCAUACAGUCCCGAGGUUUCCCUUGUGUCUUCCUACUACCGUGACUGAUUCACCGACUCUGUCUGUCUAUGUAUCCAGUGACAAAUAGCCAUCAUAUUAGCCUGCAUGCCUCAUUAUGGGGGGCCUCUCCUGGCAUACUCUUCGGGUGUUCCUUUUAGAAUAGAAGCUGCACAUAAAAACAGCAAUAAAACUCUUUACAGCUCA